ACGCUGGCGGCGUGCCUAAUACAUGCAAGUCGUACGCUUCUUUUUCCACCGGAGCUUGCUCCACCGGAAAAAGAAGAGUGGCGAACGGGUGAGUAACACGUGGGUAACCUGCCCAUCAGAAGGGGAUAACACUUGGAAACAGGUGCUAAUACCGUAUAACAAUCGAAACCGCAUGGUUUUGAUUUGAAAGGCGCUUUCGGGUGUCGCUGAUGGAUGGACCCGCGGUGCAUUAGCUAGUUGGUGAGGUAACGGCUCACCAAGGCCACGAUGCAUAGCCGACCUGAGAGGGUGAUCGGCCACAUUGGGACUGAGACACGGCCCAAACUCCUACGGGAGGCAGCAGUAGGGAAUCUUCGGCAAUGGACGAAAGUCUGACCGAGCAACGCCGCGUGAGUGAAGAAGGUUUUCGGAUCGUAAAACUCUGUUGUUAGAGAAGAACAAGGAUGAGAGUAACUGUUCAUCCCUUGACGGUAUCUAACCAGAAAGCCACGGCUAACUACGUGCCAGCAGCCGCGGUAAUACGUAGGUGGCAAGCGUUGUCCGGAUUUAUUGGGCGUAAAGCGAGCGCAGGCGGUUUCUUAAGUCUGAUGUGAAAGCCCCCGGCUCAACCGGGGAG
Molecule: ribosomal RNA, 616 nt
Filed under: Enterococcus durans
Lineage: Bacteria; Bacillati; Bacillota; Bacilli; Lactobacillales; Enterococcaceae
Description: bacterial SSU rRNA
Rfam family: Bacterial small subunit ribosomal RNA
Source: RNAcentral